This 253-nucleotide ribosomal RNA is filed under the name uncultured bacterium. RNAcentral describes it as "partial 16S ribosomal RNA". It matches the Rfam family "Bacterial small subunit ribosomal RNA", at positions 524 to 776 of the family's 1533-position model. The record is from RNAcentral.
UACGUAGGCAGCAAGCGUUGUUCGGAAUUACUGGGCGUAAAGAGUGUGUAGGCGGUGCUCCAAGUCUGGUGUGAAAUCUCCCGGCUUAACUGGGAGGGUGCAUUAGAAACUGGAAUGCUAGAGGAUGGGAGAGGUAAGCGGAAUUCCUGGUGUAGCGGUGAAAUGCGUAGAUAUCAGGAGGAACACCUGUGGCGAAAGCGGCUCACUGGACCAUAACUGACGCUGAUGCACGAAAGCUGGGGGAGCAAACAGG